AUGCUCAGUAGGCGACACUACAAUAUUGGCGAUAACCUGGAUUGCCUUCUAUGCAACCAACACGUUGAGGAGACUGUGGAACAUCUGUUCUUUCGCUGCACUUUUAGUUCAACCUGCUGGCAAUAUUUGGGAAUUCAUUGGCCAACACAGGGCAACAGAUUGGAUUUGAUAUCACAUCUAAAGAUGAGAGACGGGUGCAAGAUGAUCAUGGACAUCUUCCUCGAUGCUGCAUGGAGCCUCAGGAAGGAACGUAACAAUAACUACUUUCGACAUGUGACCCCCACGGUCACCUCCUGGCGGACACGCUUCAAGAAAGACUUCUCUGAUAUUAGUCAUAGGCUACCACCACAUAAGAAACACUUAGUGGCCACUUUUAUUGCUAAUCUUGACUAA
This 393-nucleotide ribosomal RNA is filed under the name Triticum aestivum (bread wheat). Its description in RNAcentral is "partial small subunit ribosomal RNA". Lineage: Eukaryota; Viridiplantae; Streptophyta; Magnoliopsida; Poales; Poaceae. The record is from RNAcentral.